GUUGAUUAUGGCUCAGGAUGAACGCUAGCUACAGGCUUAACACAUGCAAGUCGAGGGGCAGCAUGAUCGAAGCUUGCUUGAUGAUGGCGACCGGCGCACGGGUGAGUAACGCGUAUCCAACCUUCCCUAUAGUAGAGGAUAGCCCGGCGAAAGUCGGAUUAAUACUCUAUGUUUUCCAAUGCAGACAUCUAAAAUGGAACAAAGGUUUACCGCUAUAGGAUGGGGAUGCGUCUGAUUAGGUUGUUGGCGGGGUAACGGCCCACCAAGCCUACGAUCAGUAGGGGUUCUGAGAGGAAGGUCCCCCACAUUGGAACUGAGACACGGUCCAAACUCCUACGGGAGGCAGCAGUGAGGAAUAUUGGUCAAUGGGCGAGAGCCUGAACCAGCCAAGUAGCGUGCAAGGAUGACGGCCCUAUGGGUUGUAAACUGCUUUUAUACAGGGAUAAAGUGCGCCACGUGUGGCGCUUUGUAGGUACUGUAUGAAUAAGGACCGGCUAAUUCCGUGCCAGCCGCUGC
RNAcentral lists this ribosomal RNA (516 nucleotides) under uncultured bacterium. RNAcentral's name for it is "bacterial SSU rRNA". It matches the Rfam family "Bacterial small subunit ribosomal RNA", at positions 11 to 518 of the family's 1533-position model. The record is from RNAcentral.